CCUACGGGAGGCAGCAGUGAGGAAUAUUGGUCAAUGGCCGGAAGGCUGAACCAGCCAAGCCGCGUGAAGGACGAAGGUGCCAAGAAUUGUAAACUUCUUUUGUCCAGGGACAAAAUCAGACACGAGAGUCUGACUGAGGGUACUUUAAGAAAAAGCAUCGGCUAACUCCGUGCCAGCAGCCGCGGUAAUACGGAGGAUUCGAGGGUUAUCGGGAUUUAUUGGGUUGAAAGGGUGCGUAGGCGGACGGUUAAGUUAGAGGGAAAAGCCCGGGGCUCAACCCCGGCGUGCCGUUGAAACUGGGCGUCUAGAGAUGUCGAGAGGUAUGCGGAAUGCGCAGUGUAGCGGUGAAAUGCUUAGAGAUUGCGCAGAACUCCGAUUGCGAAGGCAGCAUACCGGCGGCGAUCUGACGCUGAGGCACGAAAGCGUGGGUAUCGAACAGGAUUAGAUACCCGUGUAGUC
This 459-nucleotide ribosomal RNA is filed under the name uncultured bacterium. RNAcentral describes it as "partial 16S ribosomal RNA". It matches the Rfam family "Bacterial small subunit ribosomal RNA", at positions 338 to 795 of the family's 1533-position model. The record is from RNAcentral.